GAGACAGGGAUACUGGAGUGAUGGAGGUAGAUAUGUAUAGGGGGAAGGAGACAGGGAUACUGGAGUGAUGGAGGUAGAUAUGUAUAGGGGGAAGGAGACAGGGAUACUGGAGUGAUGGAGGUAGAUAUGUAUAGGGGGAAGGAGACAGGGAUACUGGAGUGAUGGAGGUAGAUAUGUAUAGGGGGAAGGGAACAGGGAUACUGGAGUGAUGGAGGUAGAUAUGUAUAGGGGGAAGGGGACAGGGAUACUGGAGUGAUGGAGGUAGAUAUGUAUAGGGGGAAGGGGACAGGGAUACUGGAGGGAUGGAGGUAGAUAUGUAUAGGAGACAGGGAUACUGGAGUGAUGGAGGUAGAUAUGUAUAGGGGACAGGGAUACUGGAGUGAUGGAGGUAGAUAUGUAUAGGGGACAGGGAUACUGGAGUGAUGGAGGUAGAUAUGUAUAGGGGGAAGGAGACAGGGAUACUGGAGUGAUGGAGGUAGAUAUGUAUAAGGGACAGGGAUACUGGAGUGAUGGAGGUAGAUAUGUAUAGGGG
Molecule: long non-coding RNA, 532 nt
Filed under: Salmo salar (Atlantic salmon)
Lineage: Eukaryota; Metazoa; Chordata; Actinopteri; Salmoniformes; Salmonidae
Description: lncRNA (ENSSSAG00000082675.1)
Source: RNAcentral